This 10451-nucleotide long non-coding RNA is filed under the name Nicotiana tabacum (common tobacco). RNAcentral describes it as "long non-coding RNA (NTAB_LNC013898)". Lineage: Eukaryota; Viridiplantae; Streptophyta; Magnoliopsida; Solanales; Solanaceae. The record is from RNAcentral.
AAAUAAUACAGAGACAUCUCUGUGGCAGAAUGAAAUAAUACCUGUAAUAACAGCAUCGGAAGCAAUAGCAUUGGGUCUAACUGGAAGUGCAUAGAAACGGGCCUGACCGCCACCUGAUCGACCUCCCCCUCUAGGGCGACCCCUAACUGACUGACCUCCACCCCUAGCUGGGUGGGUGGUGGUGGUGAAGUAACCGGCGCUAAAGCCGAUGGCUGACUCCUCUGCUGAGAUGAACCCGCAAGACGACGAGGACACUGGCUCCACAUAUGACCCAUCUAUCCACACUCAUUGCAACUCUCGGGUGUUGGAGACAAGGACUAAAGGGAACCCUAGCAUCGGAAUGACUAGCAGAUGCACCUAGCUAGAAGAGCCCCGAACUGAUGGAGCACGGGAUGAACUCUGAGCUGGAAGGGCACUGAGUGAUGACUGGCCCUGAUUAGUGUUAUACCCCAUUUUAACACGGGUCAAAUUAGAGUAUAACAUAUUGAUAAUUCUAGGGGUUUAAUUAAUUAAAAAGAGCCGCCACCUAAUUGGUUUAAUGGUGAAUUAGGACACCAAUUUAGCUAAAUAAUGCUUAACUCGGUCUGCUUAACCUUAAGAUUAUGGGUAAGGAUUCUAAUUAAUCCUAUAGGGAAGGUUGUAAAAGCACUCUAUAUGACCCAAUAACUACGGUUAACCCGUCAAACUUAGGUUAAUUAAUUUAAGAUCUUAGAAUAAAUCAGAUGUAUGCCUAACGAUUAAAGUAUAUAUAUACAUAUCCAAUAGCUAAAAAUAAUUUGAUGGAAAAGACUGACGUUAGAUGACUUCUUUUAACUUAUUCAAAAUUCAUUCUUAAAGGAAAAGUUUUCCAGUUGCUUAAAGGGAAGCAAUUCUCAUAAAUAAAAAUUAUUUAGCUAGAAUUAAACAUCUUCAUUCGAAACCUUCAACUUAACGGAAUUAGAAAUGGGCUUGACAAGAAGUUAUUGGAAAGCCAUCAUUUUAACAAAUUGACCUCUUAAAAAAGUGUUAGAGGUAUAACAUUAAGCUUAUUAGAAAAUGCUUAUACCAAUAGCAAAUAGAUAAAAAGGUUAAUAAAUUAGCGAUCUUAAAUUCCUAAAGAUUAUAUGAUCAGUGAAACUAGAUGAUUAAACCUCAAACUAAAAUAAACUCAAAAUAUAGAAAUAAAUUAACAAUCAUAAAGAUAGAUAAAAUGACUAGCAAAAGAAAUAAAAGGACAUCAUAGGCGCCCCAAGCGUUUCGCUUGUUUUUCUUGUUAUCCGGUGACUUUAGAAGUUGAUAUGUGAUGACUCCAUGCUCGCGAAUGGGAGAGUCUUGCAUUAAGACUCAUAUUGCUCCAAAGUGCAUAUGCAAAUCAAAGAAAGAGAAAAUCAAGAAAUUAGAAAGAGAGGAGUUAGAAAUAGACUUGGACAAAAUUUACAGCAAGAUUUAUGGUCUUUAUACAUGUUUUCUAACAGAAAUAAUAACUCAGAAUAUUAACUUUCCAUGUUCAUGUGAAAUCUAAAGGGUCGAACAGAUUAAUAUGGUGAACAUAAUCCUUGACACUUUGAACAACAUGGUUACCCACUUCCAUGUUAAGUCUUAAAAUUGGAUAUUAAAGUCCUAGUAGCAUGCUUUCUAAAGGAAAUGCCGAAGCAGCAGCAGACCUUUUUAAGACAACUAAUACGCAUGAUAUCAUUUAACACACAAAGCACAUACUUUCUUACUGUAUUUCAAGUAAUAUCCUAAUGGCACACUCGAUAGUAACAGUAAGGAAGGAAAAUAAUUUAAAAGGUUCAUCAAUGUCAAACUCCUCUUAACUUCUAUUGUUCUUCGACACCAAACGUGCUUCUGCUAUGAGAGAUUAAGAUAUAUAUUUUUUAUUUAUUAAAUAAAUCAGAAAAUAUAUUAACAUAUUUCUGGCAUGAAAAUCUAGAAGAAACUUUUACAACUAGCAAAGACACCUUACUUUGAAUAGCUAAACGAGCUUCUACUUCGUAUGAGGCAACUUAAGGCAGAAUUUUUCUUUAAACAAAUGAUAAAAAGUCACAAUACAUGGUUUCUACAUGAUCUUUGAAUAAGGACAAAUAAAUAUAUCUGUGCAACAGUUCACAGUGACUUUCACCAAGCAAAAUAACAGUAACUUGCUAUUGAUAUCACUUUAGACAUAACAUCGAAUCGUGUUUCUAACGAAGCUUCUUGACAUGAUAUUAUCUAUUCAAUAGCCAAACAAACUAAAUUAAGUAAAGUAGUUAGGUCGUCUUGCUAUUUAGCACAAAGAAUAAAACAUGGUUUGGCCAGCAUAUUAAUCAUGUUUAAGAAUUUAAAAUAAAAGAAAAAGGAGAAAGUGCUGACCUCUAUCGGGGCAGUAAACUAAGGCGGCUGUCUAGGAUUUACUCCUUUCUCACCGAAGCCGAAGGUUUAUGAAACUACAAAGAGGGGCUAAAGCUUUUAUGAAAUUUCUAGCUAAACGAAUAGUAAAAUUUGAGGGGUAAAGUUGUGGCCUCCAACCUCUAUCCAGAUGGACUCCAAGUGCUGGUUUUUAUACGUGAAAAACUAGAGUUCUUGAUUUGGGUUUGAAAUUCAGAUUUUCCCCAAAAGAGAUGAAAUGGAGCCGUUUGAAUUUUAACGUUGGGGAUUCUGGACGAACUCAGCAGAGCUUUUUGAUUUUUUGCAGAGAGUUACCCAAAAUGGUAAGGCUUCUCUUGUAGCCUUCAAAAUUUGGAAUGUUGUGCAGCAAGAAAAGUGAAAAAUGGAGAACCUCCAUGUGAGCAAAGAGAGAGAAAAGAAGGUUUGCUAAUUCAGACUUCUGGGAGUGGAUUUGAGGCGAGAAUUCAUUGUAAUUAAAUGUUGAAUUCUUGAGAUCCAAAAUAAGGGAAUAUAAAAGAUAAUUCAAUUUCAUAGAAUGAUCUAGAAUAUGAUAUUGGGCUAAUGUUUGGUCUGCUUUAACUGUUUGGAGAUGGCUUUUGGCCGAAUUGGGCCUUCAUUUUGGGGCUCAGUUCAGAUGGGGUUGAUUAGGCAAAUUUUUGGAUAGCUGAAUUGAAUACUUGGGCUUAUGAGUAGGCCAAAAUAAAAUAAUGUUCUCCCAUCUUAAAAUUUAAUUCUUUGAGUUUCUAAUUUAUUCCAAAAUAUCCUAUUACCUACAUUAUAUAAUAAGAUGUAAAUAUGCCUUAAUAAAAUUAUUAGCAUUUGUAGAAAAAUAGUAGACUAAUUGUUAAGUAAAAUUUAUAAUGCAAUUAGAGCAAAUAUAUAUAUAAACGGUAGGAUUAGGGAAAAUAUUACUAUUUGGUUGAAUAAAAGAAAUGAUAUGCUUUUCGCAAAAGACAGUAAAAGUUAUAAUUAGAAUGUCAAAUAUAAUAAUAAUAAAAAUAAAAUAAUAAUAAUAAUAAUAAUAAUAAUAUUAAUACUAGUAAUAGUGAUAUUAAGUAAAUAAUAAUAAUUAGGUCUAGUUGGUGCGAAAAAUGGUAAAAUAACUAUUCUUACAUUAUUAGUGAUAUUAGAAGCUUAAAGAAAUAGUUUGGAAGAAAGUAGAGACAAAAUUGGAUGUCAACAGCAGCCCCUCUUUAAGUAGCCAAUUUAGUAGCCAAUGAAAGAGUUUUCGGGCAAAGAAUAUUGACUUAGUAGCCAAUUUUGUCCCGACCAUCAAGAUCGGAGUCGGACAAAGGGGACAUAAAAAAAAUUAAUUGCGGCCGAAGUUCGGUUUCGAGUUGCCUACAUAUCUCGGGUUUCACAAGAAUCAGGUCAUAUGUAGUUCAAGACUUAUGGUACCCUAGAGUAGAACUCACUUAUUGAUGUGGAUCCUAAAAUGCCGCCCCAGUGUCGAAUAAUAGAGACAUUGGGUACCAUGAUUGAAAGAAAGAUGUUGGAAAUAAGAAUUUGAUUAUGAAUUUUGAGUGUCGAGCUGAGCGGAGUUUGAAGUAGAUCCUUGACCUUUGUUGGAGAGUUUGGUAUUCCUCUCCAACAAAUUGCCCCAGUACACUGCUAAGAUAUAGUUCCACGUUGUGUUAUGUUUUCUGCAAAGCUUGACAUACUAGAUAAUUCGUUAGGAAAUAAGAUGCAGUGUGCCAUAAAAAAUAAUUUUAUGAAAAUAAUAUUUAGACGUCAAUUCAUGAGAAAUGUGAAUUUAUUGUGCAAACAUAUAAAAAAAAUAUUGUUUUGGUGAUAUAUUUCAUGAUCGCAAUGCCAUAUGAAAAUUUAGCUUAUGAAAAUAAAUGCAUUCGGAAAUAAUUUAUGAAAGAUAUAUUUUGACAAUGCUUAUGCAAGUAGGACCGCUCGGGUCGAAAUAAAUUAAAUGUCAUUUUGAGGAAGGAUUAACUUCAAUAUCCUAUUUGAGUGCGGAUUGACCCGAUAUAUCCUAUUUGAGGGCGGAUGGACCCGAUAUAUCCUAUUUGAGGGCGGAUGGACCCGAUAUAUCCUGUUUGAGGGCGGAUGGACCCGAUAUAUCAUGUUUGAGGGCGGAUAGACCUGAUAUGUCCUAUUUGAAGGUGGACAAGCCUCACAUAUGGUGCUUGAUUUGCAAUUAGAAAGAUUGAUGUGGUGCGCAGAGCUUGAUAUGCUGCCCAUUUUGUAAUGGUAAUUCAUGGGGCGAUGCAAAAAUCAUUGUGAGAUGAUUUUGUUGGAGUGAAUAUCCAUGAUGCGGAGAGCUUGAUGUAGUGUCUUUACAGGAAAAUAUUCCAGGAGCGGUGCCCAUAAUUUAGGAAUUUGCAUGCUGAAGUUUAUUGUUAGUAAAUUCCUGCACUCAAAGAAAACUACGAGUUUCAAGAUAUAAUUUGCGAUAUCUUGAAAUGCAAUGUGUUAUAAAGUAAUCUUAUGAAAAUGACACAUUUUGGGUGUUUACUUAUACAAUGCGGCCUCGCAUGCCAAAAUGAUUUGAUGAAAAUGUAGCUUUCUGCCAGUAAUGAUUUUCGGCAAAAACAUGCAGGUUAUAAUUGUGCUUGGCAAUGAUUUGUGAUAAUGAUGCAUUUCAGUAAUGACAAUAAAAGCGUGACCAUCUAGGUUGAAAUAAAUUAAUGAAAAACAUUUGAGUAGGUGCUAAAGUGUCUUGUUGUUCAGGCGGACAACCUUAUGUCCCAUUAAUUAGGCGGACUUCCUUAAUAUCCUAUUAUUAGGUGGACAACCUUGUGCCCAAUUAAUUAGACGGACAUCCUAAUGUCCUAUUAAUCAGGUGGACUACCUCAUGUCCUAUUAUCAGGCAGACGACCUCAUGUCCUAUUAUCAGGCGGACUACCUUAUGUCUUAUUAAUCAGGCGGACGACCUCAUGUCCUAUUAAUCAGGCGGACGACCUCGUGUCCUAUUAAUCAGGCGGACUACCUUAUGUCCUAUUAUCAGGCGGACAACCUUAUGUCCUAUUAUCAGGCGGACAACUUCAUGUCCUAUUAAUCAGACGGACGACCUCAUAUCCUAUUAUCAGGCGGACGACCUUAUAUCCUAUUAUCAGGCGGACGACCUCAUGUCCUGUUAUUCAGGCGGACGACCUCGUAUCCUAUUAAUCAGGCGGACAACCUCAUAUCCUAUUAAUCAGGUGGACGACCUUUUUGUCCUAUUAUUAGGUGGACGAACCUAGAUGCAUGUCUCUUGAUUUGCAAUUUCAAAUAUUGGUGCGGUGCAGAAGCUUGGUACGAUGCUUGAUUUGUAGUCUUGGAAUUCAUAAUGCGGUGUAAAGAGCUUGGUGUAAUUUCUUUGAAGUAACACAUAUUGAUGGUACAAUGCAGAGAGCUAGGUACGACGCUUUUGCAAUAGCGAAUGGUGCGGUCCAUAGAACUUGAUGCAAUGCCUUUGUAUUAAAGAAAUUCCUAGUGCAACGCCAACAAUUGUUGGAGCUUCAAAAUAAAUUUUUGUAAUUAAUAAAUUCCUGCACUCAAAGAAAAAUUAUAAGUUUCAAAGUUUGAUUUGCUCUUGCUUGGCUUCAUCUUUUGCUUUGCAUGAACCUUGCGACUUUUGACUUGAUGUCGAGCUUUGCGAUAGCAUGUAAUGUUCAAGAAUAGCUAAAAUAUGCCCCUGCAUUACUCAAAGCAAAUUUGUUAGUAUAAAAUAAAGUGGUUGCCUUGCAUUGAACGCCAAAGUUUGGCUUUGAAUCUGUAACUUGUUGUCAUGGCAUUCUGGAAUUUGUUGUUGUGCUUGUAACAAAUAUGUAGCUCGAGAUUUCAUUUUCUGCUUUGACGAAUGAUGAGGAUCCUUCUGCAAAAUUUGCCCCGAUUUUAGCUUUUAGGGUAAAUAGGAUUUUUAUUAUGAUGAGACCGAACCCAUAAGGCUGCCUACAUACCCCUCUUAAACGGGAAUCAGGUCAAAACGUAGUUCAUUUAUAAAAGCAAGGCAUAAUUACAAAAAAUAGUUACUCAUAUGAUGAUAGUUGCAAAAUGAUAAUUCCAUCAAUGCAAGGUGAACUAGUCCAAACGACGUUUCUUCUUCGGAUGGCCAACCACGCUCGGUAUAUUACUUGUGCUGCGGCUAAUUGCAUUUGAGAUAUUUGUUCCAACUGGUAGGUGCACUUGUAGUUUGUUAACAUCAAUUAAAUUCUGAAUCUUAUGUUUUAAUGCUAGGCAUUCUUCUGUAUCAUGACCAUGAGCAUUUGAAUGAUAAACACAAUACUUUGACAGGUCGAAUAAUGGAUGUGAAGUGUAAAAAAAUCCUUCCUUUUCUUGGUUGCAUAAUUCCUGAGGCAUUCAAUCGAGCGAAUAUGCUAGAAAUUGGUUCACUCAGAGGUGUAAAGUCGCAGGGCUUUCUUUUCUUUAAUUGAUAUUGAAUACUUUGUUGGCGAUGAGGCUGGAGAUGCAUGUCGUGGGCGUUAGAAAUGGCAUGAUUUUGCAAAAGCUGGUGAUUCUGAUGGCAUUCUAGUUGAUGCAUAUUCAUGGCAACUGCGGCAUUUUGCUUCUCUUUACUUUUCCGAUUUUUCAGCGUCUUAGGUUGUAAAGCAUGAAUGAUAGUUUGCAUGCUAACCUUUCCUUCUUUGAUGCCACUUUCUAGAAAGUCCCCGACUCUAAUCAAGUUACGUACGUUCGCAGUAGCCAGCUUUUCAUAGUAUAUGCCAUUUUGAAUGUUAAUGAAGAUUGAGAUCAACUCUUUCUCGGAUAGCAGAGGGUGCACCUUCGAAGCUUCAACUCUCCACCGGAUUGCAUAAUCCUGAAAAGAUUCAUGUGGCAUUUUAUCUAUUUUGUACAGGCUAUGCAUGUUUGGAUCAGCUCCAAGGUUGAACUCAUAUUGCUUUACAAAAUCGUGAGUCAUGGCAUCCCACGUGUGCCAUUUGCUAAAAUUUGUUUUGUGUACCAAACAAGUGCAGGUCCUGAUAAGCUUUGAAUAAAUAAUUUCAUCCGAAUGGACUCGUUGUGUCCUAUGCCAAUUAACCUGCUACAAUAGUCUUUCAAAUGAGCAAUGUGAUUUCCCUUCCCGUUGAAAGUAUUAAAUUUUGGCAUCUGGUACCCUGGUGGGAGUUCUACAUCUGGUUGCAGGCAUAAGUCUUCAUAUCGUAGACUUUGGUAAUUUCUUGAUUGAAAUUCUUCUCCAAUGACUUUCUUUAAAUCACGGAGUUUUUAUCCAAAUCUUUACGGCAAAUUUGCUGGAUUUAUUUUCCACGUCUCUUAUGAGGGCAUACUGUUAGUUGGUUUUGCUUGCUUUCUUCAAAUAGAGUUGUGGUUAUGAAAACUUAUGAGGGCAUACUGUUAGUUGGUUUUGCUUGCUUUCUUCAAAUAGAGUUGUGGUUAUGAGAGACAUUUUCAUGACUUGAUUGAGGUUGCAGGUUGAUGGAACUUGUGUAGAGAUUGCAUAAGUAGGAGCUGGGCAAGGAGAUAUGGUUAAGCAGAUAUUUCGGUUUGAGAAGUGGAGGUUGUAUUUGGAAGAAGGUUAAAAGUGCUUCCCAGAUUAACCAACAUGUUCCUUUGCACCACAUUCACCUUGGUGCCAUCAUUCUGUGAUUGCAAUUGUCCCAUACCGGUAUUGAAUUCUUCAAAACGGUCUGCCAUUAUAGCCCGUCCUUUAUGUAGAUACGCAGUCAAAACAAUGUUCAAUGCUAGGCAACCUUUAAAGGAAAAAUAAAACUUUACAAAAUAAAAGUAAAGUGUUAGCGUAUUUAUCAUAAUCAAAUAAAUGCACAAAGUAAUAAAGUAUGUAAUUAGAUAGAUUAAUUCAUGAUAUGGUUAAGCAGGAGUCCUAAACUGGAAAUGAUGGCCUAAGUUGCAAAAUGGAUGAACAAGAAUGGCUUGUUAUCUAGAGGGCUCUAACGCACGAGACUUGUUGACAUGGAAGCAGAAUGAUUUGAAGUUUUUUGAAGGGCUGACUUAUGUCCAACAUCAAAGCUUUAGCUCUAUCAUAGGUUCUUGUCCUUACAUGGCUUUGAAAUUUUCAAAAAUUGCCCCAAUCUUUAGGAAUCUUUUUAUUAUUACUCCAUGGCUUGAUGUCCCUUUCGAGCAUAUCAACCCGCGUGCUAAAAAUCUGCCCCAGUUUUUUGCUAUAAUGAGACUAAGCCUUACAUAGGUUGCAUGCGCAUCCAAAAUAAGGGAAGGUGGGUGGGGAAUGAUAAUCUUUCAAUUUUUUGUUAUCUUGUUAAUCAUGCUUCUUCUUCAUACACAUUGUUGGCAGCUUAGAAUGCCCUUUCUAGCAAGAAAGAGUGCAGAUUUGGAAAAACUAGGCAUUACACUCAUAAGUGGGAGAUGCAGCUGUACGAAAUGGAGAUGCCUUUUUCGUUGAACGGGUUCUUAAGAUCAUCUAUCACUUCCUUGACGCCAUUAAUUUCUUGCCCCAUUUGCCACUUUUGCUUCAAGCCUAGCAAUCUUAUCUUUGUAUGAUUUGUAUUUCUUGUACUCAAACUCAUCUGCAUCUAGGUCAAUCACUGUGAUUUGGUUGGCCAUAUUGUCCUUGAACUUGUGUUGCUUUGAUGUUCAACUCAAGUCAAUUUCUUUUGGAAAAAGGUAUAUAUAGUCACUAUGGAGUAGAUAAAUAUUAAAGGAUAAUGGUAGAAUAUUUGGGAAUGUAUGCCUAAGAAACCGACGAGAUCGGGUCUUGUAAUAUUACAAUGUCUAAGAGAGGCCAAAGAUGUGAGAUUUUAAUUAAAAAAAAAUAAUUUGCUGGUAUUUGGAUAUAAGGAUAUGGUAGUCAAUUGACAUGAAAAUACUCUAAUUUUUUUUAGCAUUGGCAAGUCAUAAAGUUAUCGAGGCCUGGGAAUACGGUGCCAACCGUUUUGAAACUUUACGGGAUACUACCUCGACUCACGUGCCAAAACAUAGAAUUAACGGGCACGUGAAAAUCAAUCUCGACAACCUGAAAUAAGACGACACAUACACUUGAAUUGAAUAGGUAAAAAAUUUAGAAUAAUUCAACAAUGCAAAUUGACCAAAUAGUGGUGUUCCAAUGCUUGGUAGAUUAUGCAAGUUUGGACAUCUACCCACUUGUAAAUGUGUGUUGGCACGAAGGUUGAAGUACUAAGAGAUAUGAAGCUAUGAAACGAAUAUUGAAGAUACAAGAUUACGCCGAAAUUGGAAAACUUAAGAAAGAAUUGAAAAUUAUGUAAGGAACGAAUGGCAAUAUUUUUUUAAAAAGAAAUAUGUAACUACAUUUUUGAGAAAAGAACGCGAAUAAAAUCAACUCGGGAAAUUAGAUGGGAAAAAUAUUUUCUAAUUAUGAAAUAUUACGCCAAUUUUCUUUUUAAGAAGUAGGAAUUAUAUCUUGCUAUAGGGAGUGAGAUGCUCAUUGUUGUCUAAAGAAAAUUCUUAAUGCUAGUUUAAGGCACGAAUAUCGAUGAAUUUUUAUGACGACUGAGCUUAUUGAAGUGUUUGCGGGCAGAAAUGCCUUAUAAAUAAUAGAAGAUCAUGCCCAAAGACUAAAAAGGUAUAUUAAUUAGACUCUAAGAAUUGGAGUGGACCUAAGAAAAAUUUGGGCCUAAGUAAAUACCUAAUUUGUGCUCUAGAGUCGUCAAAGAAUAAAACAUGGUUUGGCCAGCAUAUUAAUCAUGUUUAAGAAUUUAAAAUAAAAGAAAAAGGAGAAAGUGUUGACCUCUAUCGGAGCAGUAAACUAGGGCGGCUGUCUAGCAUUUACUCCUUUCUCACCGAAGCCGAAGUUUUAUGAAACUAAAACUAAAAGCAAAGAGGGGCUAAAGCUUUUAUGAAAUUUCUAGCUAAACGAAUAGUAAAAUUUGAGGGGUAAAGUUGUGGCCUCCAACCUCUAUCCAGAUGGACUCCAAGUGCUAGUGUUUAUACGUGAAAAUCUAGGGUUCUUGAUUUGGGUUUGAAAUUCAGAUUUCCCCCAAAAGAGGUGAAAUGGAGUCGUUUGAAUUUUAACGUUGGGGAUUCUGGACGAACUCAGCAGAGCUUUUUGAUUUUUUGCAGAGAGUUACCCCAAAAUGGUAAGGCUUCUCUUGUAGCCUUCAAAAUUUGGGAUGUUGUGCAGCAAGAAAAGGGAAAGAUGGAGAACCUCCAUGUGAGCAAAGAGGAAAAAAGAAGGUCUGCUAAUUCAGACUUCUGGGAGUGGAUUUGAGGCGAGAAUUCAC